UGGCUCAAUUGGUAGAGCAUGGCACUUGCAAUGCCAGGGUUGUGGAUUUGAUUCCCAU
RNAcentral lists this transfer RNA (58 nucleotides) under Salmo salar (Atlantic salmon). It matches the Rfam family "tRNA", at positions 8 to 63 of the family's 71-position model. From Rfam's summary of the family: Transfer RNA (tRNA) molecules are approximately 80 nucleotides in length. Their secondary structure includes four short double-helical elements and three loops (D, anti-codon, and T loops). Lineage: Eukaryota; Metazoa; Chordata; Actinopteri; Salmoniformes; Salmonidae. The record is from Rfam by way of RNAcentral.